Molecule: transfer RNA, 76 nt
Filed under: Acidobacteriota bacterium
Lineage: Bacteria; Pseudomonadati; Acidobacteriota
Also listed under: 3 other names
Description: Acidobacteria bacterium tRNA-Met
Rfam family: tRNA
About the family: Transfer RNA (tRNA) molecules are approximately 80 nucleotides in length.
Source: RNAcentral
GGGCCUGUAGCUCAAUGGUUAGAGCAGCACACUCAUAAUGUGUUGGUUCUAGGUUCGAGUCCUAGCAGGCCCACCA